CUCCUCAUCGUCCUCCUCGACCUGCUCCUCCCGCCCGCGCUCCUCUCCAACUUCCUCCGUGCCGGCGUCCACCACGCCUCCGCGCAGAGCCUCCUCGACCAGGCCAGGGGCUUCCACUUCCGCUCCUCGCUCGUCGACCUCCCCGCCAUCUCUGCCGCCCGCUCCCUCCUCAUCCUCUGCGCGUACACGGCAUGCGGGGGCGGUGCGGCCUACCUGUGGGUGGCGGCGGCCUGCAGCAUCGGCUCCCUCUUCUACGUCAAGGCCGUCACGGUCUUUGGCGUGGCCGCCGACGGUGCCGCCGGCCUCGAGCUGCAUGGCAAGGGCCAGCUCCUUGCCUUGGCCUACCGGGCCAGCAGCCGGGAGAAGCGCCGGCUGCAUGUCGUCUACAGGAUAAACAUCGAAGUAGUAAGUCCCUGCCCCUCGUCCCCUCCAUGCCCAUCUUCGUUCGCAUUAACCACCAUGGCCAUGGCCAGUUUUUCAGUAGCAGUCAGUGUCACACACGCCAAACCCAAAAUUGAUUUCACGUUAUAA
Molecule: ribosomal RNA, 531 nt
Filed under: Triticum aestivum (bread wheat)
Lineage: Eukaryota; Viridiplantae; Streptophyta; Magnoliopsida; Poales; Poaceae
Description: partial small subunit ribosomal RNA
Source: RNAcentral